AUGUCCCCUUGAGUUCCCUUAAACGCUUCAUUGUUCAUACUUUGUUUUCUAUCGGACCGAUGAUGAAUCAAUCUGAUGAACACUGAAGUGUUUGGGGGGACUCUAGGUGGCAU
This is a microRNA precursor of Capsella rubella, 113 nucleotides long. It matches the Rfam family "mir-395 microRNA precursor family". From Rfam's summary of the family: mir-395 was identified in both Arabidopsis thaliana and Oryza sativa computationally and was later experimentally verified. mir-395 is thought to target mRNAs coding for ATP sulphurylases. The mature sequence is excised from the 3' arm of the hairpin. NCBI's taxonomy places the organism in Eukaryota, Viridiplantae, Streptophyta, Magnoliopsida, Brassicales, Brassicaceae. The record is from Rfam.